This 936-nucleotide ribosomal RNA is filed under the name Triticum aestivum (bread wheat). Its description in RNAcentral is "partial small subunit ribosomal RNA". Lineage: Eukaryota; Viridiplantae; Streptophyta; Magnoliopsida; Poales; Poaceae. The record is from RNAcentral.
AUGGCACCAAUUACCGAGUGUUUGAAGAAAGGAAAGUUCCAAUGGACAGAAGCAGCUGAAGCUAGUUUCAAUGAGAUUAAACAAAAGCUAUCACAAGCUCCUGUCUUGGUACUACCUGAUUUCAACAAGACUUUUGAGUUGAAGUGUGAUGCAAGUGGAGUAGGCAUUGGAGCUGUCCUAUCUCAAAAAAGGAAGCCCAUUGCUUUUUUUAGUGAGAAGUUAAGUGAAGCUAGACAGAAAUGGAGUACCUAUCAGCAAGAAUUAUACGCCAUUUUCAGAGCGUUGAAAACUUGGAAAGUCUAUUUGCUGCCUGAAGAGUUCAUUGUUUAUAGCGACCAUCAAUCCUUGAAGCAUUUUAGAAAUCAAAAGCAUGUUGACCGCAUGCUAACAAGAUGGGCAGCAUAUCUGGAGAGGUUUAACUAUCUCAUCGUGCAUAAAUCUGGAAUAACUAACAGAGUGGCCGAUGCUUUGAGUCGUCGUGCAUGCCUCUUGACUUCUUUUGAAGCUGAACUUUCGGACAUGGAUCAAAUAAAGAAGUUGUAUGAGGGUGACGAAGACUUUGGCCAUGUUUGGGUAAAGCACGCAAGGGGCCAACCAUUAGGUGAUGACUAUUUGAUGCAAGAUGGAUAUCUCUUCAAAAAUGAUCGUUUGUGCAUUCCAAGAAGUUCUCUACGUGACAAGCUGGUUAGAGAGCUCCAUUCAAGUGAUCUUAGUGGUCAUGUUGGACGGGACAAGACUAUCGCUAACCUGGAAGCUCGCUACUUUUGGCCACAACUAAAGAGAGAUGCUGGAAAGUUCGUUCAACGGUGCCCCGUAUGUCAGACCUGCAAAGGCCAAGUCCAGAAUACAGGGUUAUACAUGCCUUUGCAUGUUCCUGUUGCUCCACGGGAGGACAUUUCUAUGGACUUCGUCUUGGGCUUGCCAAGAACAAGAUGA